This 465-nucleotide ribosomal RNA is filed under the name Vreelandella stevensii. RNAcentral describes it as "partial 16S ribosomal RNA". It matches the Rfam family "Bacterial small subunit ribosomal RNA", at positions 340 to 795 of the family's 1533-position model. Lineage: Bacteria; Pseudomonadati; Pseudomonadota; Gammaproteobacteria; Oceanospirillales; Halomonadaceae. The record is from RNAcentral.
AAGACGGGUGUCAGCAGUGGGGAAUAUUGGACAAUGGGCGAAAGCCUGAUCCAGCCAUGCCGCGUGUGUGAAGAAGGCCUUCGGGUUGUAAAGCACUUUCAUUGGGGAAGAAAGCCUUGGGGCUAAUACCCUCGAGGAAGGACAUCACCCACAGAAUAAGCACCGGCUAACUACGUGCCAGCAGCCGCGGUAAUACGUAGGGUGCGAGCGUUAAUCGGAAUUACUGGGCGUAAAGCGCGCGUAGGCGGUCUGAUAAGCCGGUUGUGAAAGCCCCGGGCUCAACCUGGGAACGGCAUCCGGACCUGUAAGGCUAGAGUGUAGCAGAGGAAGGUAGAAUUCCCGGUGUAGCGGUGAAAUGCGUAGAGAUCGGGAGGAAUACCAGUGGCGAAGGCGGCCUCCUGGACUGUCACUGACGCUGAGGUGCGAAAGCGUGGGUAGCAAACAGGAUUAGAUACCCUGGUAGUC